AGAGUUUGAUCAUGGCUCAGGAUGAACGCUAGCGGGAGGCCUAACACAUGCAAGCCGAGCGGUAGAGAUUCUUCGGGAUCUUGAGAGCGGCGUACGGGUGCGGAACACGUGUGCAACCUACCUUUAUCUGGAGGAUAGCCUUUCGAAAGGAAGAUUAAUACUCCAUAAUAUAUUGAUUGGCAUCGAUUGAUAUUGAAAGCUCCGGCGGAUAGAGAUGGGCACGCGCAAGAUUAGCUAGUUGGUGAGGUAACGGCUCACCAAGGCGAUGAUCUUUAGGGGGCCUGAGAGGGUGAUCCCCCACACUGGUACUGAGACACGGACCAGACUCCUACGGGAGGCAGCAGUGAGGAAUAUUGGUCAAUGGGUGCAAGCCUGAACCAGCCAUCCCGCGUGAAGGACGACUGCCCUAUGGGUUGUAAACUUCUUUUGUAUAGGGAUAAACCUACCCUCGUGAGGGUAGCUGAAGGUACUAUACGAAUAAGCACCGGCUAACUCCGUG
This 499-nucleotide ribosomal RNA is filed under the name uncultured bacterium. RNAcentral describes it as "bacterial SSU rRNA". It matches the Rfam family "Bacterial small subunit ribosomal RNA", at positions 8 to 507 of the family's 1533-position model. The record is from RNAcentral.